This 376-nucleotide ribosomal RNA is filed under the name uncultured bacterium. RNAcentral's name for it is "bacterial SSU rRNA". It matches the Rfam family "Bacterial small subunit ribosomal RNA", at positions 523 to 898 of the family's 1533-position model. The record is from RNAcentral.
AUACGUAUGGUGCAAGCGUUAUCCGGAUUUACUGGGUGUAAAGGGAGCGCAGGCGGUACGGCAAGUCUGAUGUGAGAGCCCGGGGCUCAACCCCGGUACUGCAUUGGAAACUGUCGGACUAGAGUGUCGGAGGGGUAAGUGGAAUUCCUAGUGUAGCGGUGAAAUGCGUAGAUAUUAGGAGGAACACCAGUGGCGAAGGCGACUUUCUGGACAAUAACUGACGUUGAGGCACGAAAGUGUGGGGAGCAAACAGGAUUAGAUACCCUGGUAGCCCACACUGUAAACGAUGGAUACUAGGUGUAGGGUGUGAUAAACACUCUGUGCCGUCGCAAACGCAGUAAGUAUCCCACCUGGGGAGUACGGCCGCAAGGUUGAA